CUCCCACUAUAAUAUUUAUUACACCAAUAACAUCAGUAAAGUUCAACAAAUUGCAUAUAAAUUCAACAAUAGUAAAAUAACAAUAAAUACAACAGAUAACUGUUCUGACCAAUAGCCUUUCUUAAAAAGGAGCUAUUAAGUAUGUUAAACUUUAUUUAUCCACAAAUUCACUUUAUGAAUAUAAUUCCACCCAACUUAUCCUUAAAUUAAUAAUAACCACCUAUUUCUAUGUUAAACGGACUUUAUUUAAAGUUAGCGCCGGAAAAGCAUACCUAUGUAUCCGGAGACGGUCCCUCACAUUUAACUAUCAAUAAUUACAUACCUUAAAGGUCAAGGACACUGGAGUGUUUGUACACAAAAACGUGUUCGGCCCAAUUAGACUGAUACAGUCUGGAGGGUUUGAGGGUGGCUUGAUGCAAGCCGGCUCAAUGCAGCAACUCCAAGAUGUAGCAAACACUCCAGUAUUUAUACUUUUUAAAACAAUGGAAUCAAACACCGUGAAAAACAACAAGUUUAUUACGUAAGUGAGGAGAUAUAAACACCGAGAUCUUCGAAUUAACUUUGAACCCAAGGACAGCAUUGGCUUAAGUUGACCACUAGAUUUAAUGAAUAGAAAAUGCCGUAUGUCCAUCUACUUCCGGUCAACGUGCUCCAGAAGUAGAGAAGAAAUUUAAUUAAAUAUACUUGAAGACAAGAAGCAAUAGUCAAAAAGGUUAGUUUCCUAAAUCAAAUAAUCCCUUUUAUACAUGUAUAUAAAUUUGUAGCAAAUUCCUAUCUGGGGAAAUACUAGUUUUAUUCUAUAAAAUUGCCUGGUCACUACAUUCCUCCCCCCUAAAGAUCAAUAUUACAGGUAAAAUUGAUCCCACUAAAAGUUAAUAAAAGGCUCUUAGUAGAUAAAACUUGUUAAAAUUUGAAGUUUAAAUGUUAAUAGGUUAUUAAACUAUAAAUCAGAACAUUCAAAGGUUGUAAAUGCAUAUAUAAACACAAUAAUUAAAUGUUCAUUCAAAAAAUAUAAUCAAGAGAAGUCUCUAUCCAGAAUUUCGGCUGCCUCCAGACGCUCUGUCAAACGAUGGACUAGCGAGGCCCUAGCUUCCUCCUCUCGCUUCCUACUUGCCUCACGUUUUUCGCGAUCGAUUAUUUCCGCAUUCUCCUCCGGAGUUCCCAGUCUGGGCAGUAUUGCUCCCCGCGUUUCAAUAUAGUCCACAUUAGGAGUCACUAUAGUUUGUAGAAAUUUGUGAAUAUGGUCUUCUCUGACUAAAUGUUUAAAGGAAAGGUGUCGAGAGCACCGGUCUUGAUUCCAAACAUUUUACGACACUUUCCACAUUUGAAAAUUUGUCUGGUAGACUGGUGUAGAUACUGCCAGUGAGUGUGCAUCUCUCUCAGGGUGUGGUAUUUGUAUAGUGUACUGCACCUCCUCACUGGACAGUAUUGUCCCAACGGGUUAAAUAUGGGUGUGGCAGGGCGGAUGACAAGAUGGUGGAACUGUUGCAGUUCCUGCUCGUCUGCCCUUAACUGCACAUUAUCAUCAUCACACAUUCUAUAAUAUAAAUACUGAUAUUAGAAAAAAUACAUUUCUUCAAUACCCUACAAAUAAAUAUUCUUAAUUAUUUCAUACAUAUUUAUAUAUAUAUAUGCACUAAUCUUGCACAAAG
Molecule: long non-coding RNA, 1652 nt
Filed under: Mytilus galloprovincialis (Mediterranean mussel)
Lineage: Eukaryota; Metazoa; Mollusca; Bivalvia; Mytilida; Mytilidae
Source: RNAcentral